UUACCUGGUCUUGACAUCCACAGAACUUGGCAGAGAUGCCUUGGUGCCUUCGGGAACUGUGAGACAGGUGCUGCAUGGCUGUCGUCAGCUCGUGUUGUGAAAUGUUGGGUUAAGUCCCGCAACGAGCGCAACCCUUAUCCUUUGUUGCCAGCGGUCCGGCCGGGAACUCAAAGGAGACUGCCAGUGAUAAACUGGAGGAAGGUGGGGAUGACGUCAAGUCAUCAUGGCCCUUACGACCAGGGCUACACACGUGCUACAAUGGCGCAUCCUUUAUAGAAGCGACCUCGCGAGAGCAAUGCGUCGUAGUCCGGAUUGGAGUCUGCAACUCGACUCCAUGAAGUCGGAAUCGCUAGUAAUCGUGAAUCAGA
RNAcentral lists this ribosomal RNA (368 nucleotides) under Citrobacter sp. FER40. RNAcentral's name for it is "bacterial SSU rRNA". It matches the Rfam family "Bacterial small subunit ribosomal RNA", at positions 971 to 1353 of the family's 1533-position model. The record is from RNAcentral. Lineage: Bacteria; Pseudomonadati; Pseudomonadota; Gammaproteobacteria; Enterobacterales; Enterobacteriaceae.